AACAAGACAACACGGAAGUACAAUUGGAGGAAGGUUUGUUUUGAAUUUGCAAUAUGCUCGCUUCUUACGUGGAUUUUAGACGCAGUUAACGGAAUACCUAAGUCUCAGUCCACUGAAAAUGGCAAAAUUACAGUCUUUGAGUGUGUUUGUUAAUACGCGUUUAACAGUGGCUACCGUAGAGAUUAUGGGGGCAGUAGAGAAAGUGGUAGCGGAGUACCAGGAGGAGAUUUUCCGAUCUAAAGUGGAGAAUGACCGGCUGCGCAGACUGCUGCGGAUCAGACCGGAGAUGAAACGAUGUAGAUUAGACUCCCUCCAGUUCUCGCUUACCGUCUCCGAGGAGGAGGUUAACCCUGUGCAGCAGCAAUGUGACCAGGAGGAAUGGAACUCCAGUCUGGGGACGGAUGACCCCGAGCCCAUGCAGAUUAAAGAGGAAAAUGCGGAAGUCGGGACCACUCAGGUGGCAGGGCAGCUUCAAGGGCUGGAGCCUGACAUUGUAGAGUUCAUGUUCACUCCUUCCUGUGUGAAAAGUGAUUGUGAUCAGGACGACCUACUUCAGUCCUUGACUCUUUCCCAAACCACGACUGUGGAGAACAGAGAGAGUGACUCUAAAAAAUUGGAUCUCAAACCUUUUGGCACAGUGACCCAACUCGACACUCCUUAUGACCCUCGAGAUAAUCAAGACAAUGUCUCCAGCCACAGCUCAGCUGCAAGCAGUGAUCUAGUAGGAUUUGACAUAAGCCCACCAUUGGAUCCCAACCCACCAUUGAGGAAACCCAGCACCACAUCUAAAACACAUGACUGCGGGAAAAUAUUAAAUUGCAAGGGGAGCCUGAACAGGCAUAUGCAGACCUCCACAGGAGAAAAAUCAUUUAGCUGUAAUAACUGCAGGAAAAGCUUCAGUCGCAAGGAUACCCUUAACAUGCAUAUACGGACUCACACAGGAGAGAAACCAUUUGUCUGUGGUGAUUGCGGGAAAAGCUUCAGACAGAAGGCUACCCUUAACAGGCAUAUACGGACUCACACAGGAGAAAAACCAUUUAGCUGUGGUGCCUGCGGGAAAAGCUUCAACCAUAAGGGAAACCUAACUGUUCAUUUACUGACUCACACAGGAGAGACACCUUUUACCUGUGGGGACUGCGGGAAAAGCUUCAGACAGAAAUAUAGCCUUAAAAAGCAUACAUCGACUCACAUAGGAGAGACAUUUAACUGUGCUCACUGCGGGAUAAGCUUCAGACACAAAGUGAACCUGGAUAGUCAUAUACUUGCUGUCCACAAAUAAACAAAACAGAAUGAAAACAAAAAGAAGAAAAUGUAACAAAGAUCUGGCAGGAGUUGGUAAUACAAAUGCAGGAUAUGGACAUCACUGUUAGGAAAGCAAAUAAAUUCUAGAUCACUCAUGUUGUAGGUUUAAGGUAUUUACUUUUGUAAAAUGUUCUAUGUAAAUAAAAUGUUAUUCGAAUUACGAUAUUAUGAUCAAACAGUUAAAAAGGGCAAUGGAAACACUUUAGGAAGUAAAUCUAAGCAAAGAUAUGUAAUCAAUCAACAAUUAUCUUGCAAUACUUUAACAUAAAAACAUCUCUGUAUUUAGUAUUUUGAUCUUCGAGGUUAAUUUGAGCUAUUGUCGGCGCCAUUUUCAAUUGCCAUAGUAACGACUGACGCCAAUGCGUCACUGGCAGGAAUCAGUCAAUUGUCUGGUAUUGAGUUUUCGCGCGGAGAGGGAAUCGAAGAGUACAAGGACAUGAUGACAACAACGAUUAGUAAUUCUGACAUGAACUGUAUAGCGCCAGGCUGUACGAAUUGGCUCCAAUUUAAAAAUAUAUAUAUCGGGUAGGUACCAUCGGCUGUCCAAGGACCUUUUGAACACGUGGCUCCAUAUCCUAAAGAAAGGAAGGACGUGCCAGCUCGAUCUAGCAAGGUCUGCAGGCAGCACUUCGCCGAGAAGGACUUUGCUACGAAGGGCGCGUUCGAUGCGGCAACCGGGAGUUUCAGAAUGUAAAGGAGUCCUAAACCUACGUUGAAGCCCUAUACUUGCCCCCCCCCCCCCCCCCAGGUUCAGUUGUCUUAAUCUUAAUAAAACAUUUGUUUGUUUUCAGGAUGAUAUUGUCAUCCAUGAAAAGGUUUUCAUCCUGGAGAUUGUGCAAGAGAAAAUAACAGUUAGUACAGCAUGCCAAACAAACCCCUGGUUGCCAGAUUGUUCCUGUGCUGCGGUGGAAAAGAGCUCCACCGGGACCAUAACUAAAGAACUCGAGGCCCAGCUAGAUUGCUCUCACCACCAUCAGUAUACAACCGAGUCCUGCCCCUGUUGGCCACAGAGCUGACAGAGAGUGAGAUGGGUGAAGACCAGGAGUCGAUGUAUGAACCUGAGAGCUCAGACACACAAUCAUCACAGUGCGAACCAAGAGAUACAAUCGAAGAGUGUGCAAGAUCAGAAAUACAUAGUCUUUGAUAGCAAGCUGAAGGAGUUGUUCAAUGUCUGCCAUGAGCCAGGAUGUCGAGCUGGUGUCAUCAGUUCAUCCCUGAAAAUAAAUGGUUUUGCCAUCACCAUGGAGACAGUGUUGUGGGCCACAGGAGGAAGUGGGAGUCCUAGACCAGAGUGGGGAAAGUUGUUUGCAGGUCGUGCCAUUGGCAGUCUGUCUUCCUUACUGGUGGCUCCCACUCCACAUUUGUGGAAACAUGUCACCUCCUCAGCCUGGUGCCCAUGUCGCUGCGUCAGUUUGCAAACCAACAGCGCAUCUACAUUGUGCGAAAGGUUAACCACAUGUGGACCCACCACACGUAGGCCAUUCUGGCUACAAUUGGUGACAGUCCACUGAUUGUAUCUGGAGACGCAUUGUGUGAUUUCUCCAGGCCACUCUGCUUCCCACCUGAUCCUCCCCCAUGAGACUGUGCAUGUUACCAAGGUGAAGAAUAUUUACUGUUUGGAGACGGAAGGAUUAGAGAGAUGCCUGCAACACAUUGAGGCCCAUGGAUGCAGUAUUAAAACCUUGGCCACUGACAGGCAUCCAAGUGUGAGGGUGCACUUGAGGGGCUCAUAUCUGGCAUGAGUAUGACCUGUGGCACAUUGCCAAAGGUAUGAGGAAACAGCUGGUGGCCAUCGGGAAGCCAGAGGUACUGCCAUGGGUGAGGGCAUUAACUCACCACUUGUGGUACUGUGCCACCACUGCUGGUUGAAGUGUCCAGGUGCUAAAAGAAAAGUGGAUCACCACAGUUCACCUCAUCACCAAUGAACACCAGUGGGUCACUGGAGGCACACUGAACUGCCUGCUCUCCACCAGUCUUUCACAUUGAUGUUGGGUGACUUUGUCACUCCUGGCGCAAAAAUUCAAGCAGCUCGGCUUGGUUUGAUGGCUUGUGACCAUCCAUCUUCCUCUUGAUCACAUUCCAAAGGUUUCAAUGGGUCUUGAUCUGGUGGUCCUCCAUCCACACCUUGAUUGACCUGGCUGUGUGGCAUGGAGCAUUGUCCUGCUGGAGAAACCAAUCCUCAGAGUUGGAGAUUUUAACAGUCUGAUGGCCUUGAGAUAGAAGCUGUUUUUCAGUCUCAGUCAUCAGCUUUGAUGCACCUGUACUGACCUCGCCUUCUGGUUGAUAGCAGGGUUAACAGGCCGUGGUUCUGGUGGUUGAUGUCCUUGAUAUUUUUGGCCUUCCUGUGACAAUGGGUGCUGUAGGUGUCCUGGAGGUUGUUGAAGGAUCUCAAGAAGGUUUUUAAAAAAACGUAUCAACCGUUUCUGUACAUAUGCUGCAACAUUUUGAUCAAAUUAAUGAGCACAUUUUAACCCCUUUUUUGCCUUCCUAUGUGAACUACAACCAAUUAAUUUAAUAAAAUCAGUAAUAUAAUAAUUCUAGUAGCCUAUUUAUUAAUCUCAAGUUAAAUGAAUUAGAUAUUUUAUUUUCUAGGUGAUGAAGUGUGGCUGGUGAACUCAAGUGUACAUGCCCAAGAGGAACAUGUUCGGCCAGCAGGGGAUGGUCGCUAAAUUCCAAGUGCCUACCUUGAACCGCAAUUAUUCAGUGGACAGACAGCAGGUUACAACAGAGGGAGUGCUCCGUUUAAAGCAAGAGUUCUCCAAGGCUGCCAGGGCGUUAGUGGUGAAACCCAGCAAGGAGGAGAAGACAUGAUGUUUCCGGUCUGAGCUCCUACACAGCAUCGUUGACUGCUGUGCCAAUAUUAUGUCAGAUGUAGACAGAGAGAGGAAUUACCUACAAUGAUUUGUGUAACUUAUAUCUGUCUCUAAGACCAUCCCAGCGGACUCUCCUGAGUGCCCAAAGAGAGAGUGGCGGUCACUUUGGGGGAGCAGACUAGUGUUCCGAAAAUGGAGAAGGAGCAGGCCAUUCGACAGCAAAUUCAAAGAUACACCCAUCCAUGGAGGGAAUUGAAGUGGAUUUUUUUUUUUUUUUACCAGUUUCAACAGACAUGCUACCUUGUCCCGGACCUGCGGUUUCAACUCUGUUUUUCAGUCUCUCGGUCCCAGCUUUGAUGCAACUGUACUGACCUCGCCUUCUGGAUGGUAGUGGGGUGAACAGGCCGUGGCUGUGUCGAGUAUAUGUAGACGGGAGGAGUAUUAUGUGCCAGCUGAGCCUAAAUGCUGCUAUUGUGGUGGUGAACAUACACCUGCAUUUCUGAAGUGUCCUGUUAGGGUGAUGGAGGUGGUAAGAAUAAGGGCUGUCCAGAAUGUCACCUAGCCUAAGUUGUUGAGCAGUGAAAGAAAAGUGUGAAGUUGAAGAAAUAAUGGUAGUAGGCGGAGAGACACAAGAUGAUGUUCCUUGUCAACAGAGGGAUCCUGACAUGUAUGUUAAGAAGGUGGACGUUGUAGCGUUUAUUGGUUUGGUUAUCAACUGCACAUCACAAACAGAGGAAAUCUAAGAAAAUAGGCAUUGUGAGUGUGACUGUCGCUGAAUGUUCCAUCCUCACAGGCACCUGUAGGAAUGCAAUUUGAAUGUAACUGAAGGAGUGGGAUGGUUGUUCGAUUAUUUUUUUAAAUGAUCCCCCUUCCUGCAUUUGAAUAUAUUAUUUUUGUUUUGUUUCAAGACCCCGUACAGUAGGUGGCGGCAAUAUACCAAUAGGUGUAGUCUGCCAUAACAUUUUAAAGAAGAAAACAACGCAACCGGAAGUUGGAAUCGCUAGUUUCCGUUUGGGUUCACAACUGCUUGUUGAUGGUGGUAUAGCUAGCCAGCUACUGCUAUGUCAAUAUUUUUGAUUUAGCUAGCUAAAACAAACGUUUUUACGAAGAAAAUGAGUUCUGAAGGGAAUCGACACGGGACGAAAAGACCUGGUUCUCCGAAUGAAGAUGGACCUACUCCAUGGGCAGCUGCAGAUCUGGGGGACAACGAGAGGAAGCAGAAGUUUUUGAGGUUGAUGGGCGCAGGGAAGAAAGAACACACUGGACGUCUAGUCAUUGGAGAUCACAAAUCAACAUCCCAUGUCCGCAGCGUACUAUCUGGGACCAGAUAGCACUGUAUUUGGUAUGAUUGGUGUUUCACUAGUUUGUCCUCUGCAGGGGCGGAGGACCGGAGGAUGAACUCUGAGCUGGAGUUGCAGUACCAGCAGGGGCUGGACGGGAAGCUGUCAGGCAGGAACAGGAGACACGUCGGACUGGGCUUUAGUGAGCCGGACCCAGCCCCACCUCUACCACCCGUAGAGGGCCAAAGCAAGGCAGAGCAACCAGCCAGUCCCAAUGCCCCAGACAGCCCCUCAGAACCCCAGGGCUCACCAGACAAACCCUCCUCACCAAACCCAGAGGACAGCACGAAAGACAAGAAAGAGGACAAGAAACACACCUUCAAAAUGGCCUUUGUGAAGUCAUCCUAAGACUGGGAGAAAAACAGUCACUUUUUUUCUAAAGUCAAACCACAGAUUUGUACAUAAGUCGUUCUUUUGUGUCUCUGCAGUACUCCCAAGCUGAUACAUGGUAACUUCGUGGUUUAAGAUGGCUUUUAUGUUCCAAUGCUGAGCAGCAAACCAGUAGUGCACUACUGAAGGAGGUCACAAUCAUUGAGACAGAUUUCCCGUGUUGUUUCCUUGUCAAUUUUUGUUAGGAUUCCUGACUGAAAGAGGGACUACGACGUGUUAUAAAUGGUUCUGAGACGAAGCUCAUGAGUUAUAAAAAUGUACUUAAACUACAAAUUGAAUAUCAAUAAACUGAAGUGUACCACAGUAGGGAUGAAUAUUUUCUCAAAUCUACAAAGGUGGCUAUUUCAAAGCAUUUAAAAAUAUAAUCACUAUACCAGGGUUCUCCCUGCGCUACAUUGCCGGCUUGUCUGGGCCACUAUGUGAAACUCAUAUUUAGUAAUGAUAGAGUAACUUUGAUCAGCAAUCACAUUUUUUUGUGAAUUGUGAAACAGACCGUUCAGUGCAUUUCAGCAGUAGGAUAUCUCGGAGUGUGAACCCCGAGUAGGCUGUAGCAUCAUAACUGCAACGGCAGUCAAAUGACCGAAGAUACUAAGCUUGCUAGAAAACCUCCAACGAAUGACAUAUCCUAUUUGGCAAUAUCGAGUUGAUAAUUAGCCUAUGCAGAUCAGUGCAUGAAUAACAGAGAUGAGAGGAUAUUGUUAAAAUAAAAAAUCCAUCUACUCAUACAAUUUGAUCACACAUUAUCUACUGAAGCUCUGAUGGGCAGCAAUACGAGACAGCGCAGAAGCGUUAUGCAUAAUGUUGAAGAGCUUUUAAAGACAGGACUGUCCAGCCAGCAAUCCCAGUUAAUUUGAGUUUAUUCUGAUGAUCGACAAGGAAGCACAUUAGAUGGGCAGGACAACAGUAUGUUGAUGGCUGUAGAUUUGUGAUUCGUCUGUUAGCCCCUGCUAGCUUAUUUCCAUGCUAAUGCGACCAUUACAAUUAAAUGGGGAGUCAGGAUGUUGGAUUUCAGUGGGAUUGUGAUAGGAAAAUAGCCUAGGCUCUAUAAGGCUACUGCGUGAGUCAAUAGAUAACUAAUACACUUGGUUUAGGCUACAUUGCAUGCUACAUGUUUCUGAUCAGUGAAAGAUGAUUAUCAGACAAGUCAGAGGCUUCUGUUCAGGAGUAGGACAGAAUACUCACGCGAGUGAAGAUCAAAAUCCACUUAUAUACAUGCUAGACACAUUUUCUGAUCAGCUAAUAUAUAAGCAAACUAGAAUAAAGAUGAUCAAUUUACCUAACAUUUCCCUCAGCCUAGUUACCAAAUAUCCACAAAGAUUCUGUGAAAACAAAAAUCUGACGUUGAUUGAUAUAUCUAGACGAGUCCCCCAUACUUGUCUCAAAGCAGCGCAAAGGCUCUGUCCCAAUCAAAAAGGUGCUGAAAUGAUAAUGUAGGUGACCACACAGGACUAUUGCUUUACAUUUGUAUAACGGUUGCACAUGAUUUAGGGAUAUACAGUAUAAGCAAGAAUUUGAUACAUGCCUUCAAUUGCAUUAGCCUAUAUUUUAAUCAUUCAGUUGAUCAUAACUAAGGUGAGUUUCUCUCUCUGUGCCUUUUCUAGGUCCAAUGGCUAUUUCCUCGUCUCCUCACUGUGCUGCCACCCUCCUCGUUCUCAAAACCAAUUUAAAUCAUUAUACUUAUUUUUCUAGAAAUCUGGCUUUUUUUUCCAGGUUGGGGCUCACUUAAUUUCUGUGAUGUCAGGCCUGGGCUCGGGCUUCAAGCUUUACGGACUUGGGUCGGACCGGGAUCUAAUUUUCAGUUCUGAUGAGAACUCAAACUGCAUUCAGAUCUGGUGUGCGGUCGAGCAAUGUCAGUUAUGUGUGUUUUGAAUUGAUGGCCACUUUGUGUGAAGUAAAUAUGCCAGGCUAAAAGGAUUCCAUGCAACAACCUGUAUGGAUAAUGUGCUUUUUUGUUGUUGCCAAAUCUGCUGCGCAUGUGUAUUUUGUGGAAAUGCAUUAGUGAGACAAUGUUGUAAUUUUCCAUGUCUUGUCAUUACAUUUUUGGGAGAAAUGUUAAGAGUGAUCCCUUUAAUUGUCAAUUGCGGUAUAAAGCCGAUUUUCAGCACUAUGGCUGGAAUUGAGCCCAAAAUAAACAUGCUCGUGUUUGAA
Molecule: RNA transcript, 7993 nt
Organism: Oncorhynchus kisutch (coho salmon)
Lineage: Eukaryota; Metazoa; Chordata; Actinopteri; Salmoniformes; Salmonidae
Gene name: small acidic protein-like
Exons: 8
Source: RefSeq, a predicted model, not a curated record